Molecule: long non-coding RNA, 1172 nt
Organism: Oxyura jamaicensis (ruddy duck)
Lineage: Eukaryota; Metazoa; Chordata; Aves; Anseriformes; Anatidae
Exons: 2
Source: RefSeq, a predicted model, not a curated record
CAUUUGGCAGGGUUUUUGCUUUUUAUGGCAAUGCUACUGAAGUCAUCUUAACCAGCUUCCAUGCCAUGUUCCCUGUGCUGCUAGCACAGCAAAAAAUACCUUUUUUUUAUUAUUAUUUUUUUAUUUUUUCCAUCUGGAUCAGUUAUCUGGUCUGGUUGCCAGUGUGGGUGUCCAAACAGCCGUGCCAGCUCCCUGAUGGGAGUGAUGUGGAAUAUGGACUGCUACUAAGAAAAUUCCUGGGAACCACGGUCUCACCCGUCAUACCGCAGCACGCUGUCAGCAGCAGCCCAAGAACGUCCCUGCUCGGUGCCACGGUCACCCACAGGAGCCAGCUGUCUAGCACAGAUAAGGCUAGAAAGAGAUUUCUCUAAUGCUAUCAUUCAGCAAUCUGGGGUAAAACCUUCUUUAACUCUGUUCUGAAGAAUUUGUACUCAAGAGGGAGGGAAACCCUCGGGUUAAACUAAAAAAGCCUAGUACGUUAUCUGUCAGGAAGCACCUCUGUGCCAUCUGGGCAAUGAGGCAGACAGUGAUAAUGUGGCUUAGUUCUCCUCAUGUGCUUAGUGGGGGAAUACCUUAUCAGCAAAUAAAGUAGAAGUAUUUCACUUGUAUUUCCUUUCCUGGAUUGUACGAACACAAUUACAGAAGUAAAUUGCCAGCAAAUAGGUUUACUUUGUGCAACGCUACUUUCUAGUGUUUUAUUAACAGCAAAGCUUUUUGCAACCACCACCAAAUUCUUGCAACACCAGAGAGAUAAAACACCAUGCACAGCCUACUGGGCCCAAGCAGGGACUGACAGAUUUGAGGUACCUGGAAAUGAAAACUGAGGCUCCAGGUCUUGGCUGUCCUUUGGAACAAGCUGCCCGUGCCCGCGGUAUGCCUGGAAUGCACCGGGAAUGGUCUCGGCUUGACAGCACAGCCUCUCCCUUGACUCACUUUAUCACCUGACAAGAAGUGAAAGGGACCAGAAAUAUAAAUGCUAGCUUAGCAAAAUAAGGAGGAGUUAAAACGUGCCCAGACAGGCUGUCAGCCCAGGAUAUCGGCUUGGAGGUCCUGGCCAGAGGUGUCGGAAACAUCGUCUGGAAGUCAGGCAUCAGUUCUUUUCCUGUCCUGGUUUGGCCGAGAUACCCGAUCACCAGUCUGGCACCUUUUGAGACCUGCUGUGCAAAGCUGGG